GACGAACGCUGGCGGCGUGCUUAACACAUGCAAGUCGAACGGAAAGGCCCUGCUUUUGUGGGGUGCUCGAGUGGCGAACGGGUGAGUAACACGUGAGUAACCUGCCCUUGACUUUGGGAUAACUUCAGGAAACUGGGGCUAAUACCGGAUAGGAGCUCCUGCUGCAUGGUGGGGGUUGGAAAGUUUCGGCGGUUGGGGAUGGACUCGCGGCUUAUCAGCUUGUUGGUGGGGUAGUGGCUUACCAAGGCUUUGACGGGUAGCCGGCCUGAGAGGGUGACCGGCCACAUGGGGACUGAGAGACGGCCCAGACUCCUACGGGAGGCAGCAGUGGGGAAUAUUGCACAAUGGGCGGAAGCCUGAUGAAGCAACGCCGCGUGCGGGAUGACGGCCUUCGGGUUGUAAACCGCUUUCGCCUGUGACGAAGCGUGAGUGACGGUAAUGGGUAAAGAAGCACCGGCUAACUACGUG
RNAcentral lists this ribosomal RNA (468 nucleotides) under uncultured bacterium. RNAcentral describes it as "partial 16S ribosomal RNA". It matches the Rfam family "Bacterial small subunit ribosomal RNA", at positions 28 to 507 of the family's 1533-position model. The record is from RNAcentral.